This 556-nucleotide long non-coding RNA is filed under the name Helianthus annuus (common sunflower). Its description in RNAcentral is "sRNA HanXRQr2_Chr06g0271811". Lineage: Eukaryota; Viridiplantae; Streptophyta; Magnoliopsida; Asterales; Asteraceae. The record is from RNAcentral.
GGUUCAAGCUGUCGAUCUUUACAAAGAAAAUAAACAACAUCGUCCUUUCGGCUCUUCUGCUGCCACUCCGGCUCCAUCUCCUGCACUGGCUCUGGCCGUCGCUGCUGAUUCCCAGGAGACCUUUCACACAGACAUUUCAUCGAGCACCUUCAUCAAUAACAGCAUCCCAAUCAGUAGCUCCAUCUUUAAGAAACUGCUUCAUAUCCCGAUCUACCUGUUCUGAUGGUCAAAGAAAAGAGGAUGAAUGGUGAGGUUGGAGGUUAUGCCUGUUCUUGUCCGGUCAGACUGAUUUUCCAUUUCCAAAAGAGAAAACGAAACAAAGAUGUUAAGGUGGUCAUCAAUGAUGUAGUUAAUUGAGGCUAUUGAAUGGGGAGUUCCAAUCAAGAAAAAAAAACAUAACCGAUUAAUUAAUUAAACCAAAUAAAUAAUAAAAAAGAAAUAGAGAAGGAGCAUCCACCACACCUUUGGAUACCUCCCAUACCCAAUGGUCUUAUACAAUUCUCAUUCAUAUUCAAUGCUUCCACCGGCAUGGGAGGAAAUGUUGUUGAGCGUGUGA